CCUACGGGGGGCUGCAGUAGGGAAUAUUGGACAAUGGGCGAAAGCCUGAUCCAGCCAUGCCGCGUGAUAGAUGAAGGCCCUCUGGGUUGUAAAUAUCUUUUAUCUGGGAAGAAACAAUCUUAUUCUUAAGAUCUUGACGGUACCAGAGGAAUAAGCACCGGCUAACUCCGUGCCAGCAGCCGCGGUAAUACGGAGGGUGCAGGCGUUAUCCGGAUUAACUGGGGUUAAGGGGUGCGUAGGAGUGCGUGGUGAAAGCUCCGGGCUUAACUUGGAAACUGCAAUUGAUACUGCCAGUCUUGAAUGUCGUAGAGGUAAGCGGAAUGUUGCAUGUAGCGGUGAAAUGCUUAGAUAUGUGACAGAACACCAAUUGCGAAGGCAGCUUACUAUGCGAUGAUUGACGCUGAGGCACGAAAGCGUGGGGAGCAAACAGGAUUAGAUACCCCAGUAGUC
Molecule: ribosomal RNA, 450 nt
Filed under: uncultured bacterium
Lineage: Bacteria
Description: partial 16S ribosomal RNA
Rfam family: Bacterial small subunit ribosomal RNA
Source: RNAcentral